UUUCCCUGUACUCUCCCCGUCUCUCUGUACUCUCUCUCCUCUCUCUCAAGCUAGAAACCCUUCAAACUUUCUUUAAUCAAAACACAAAUUCAUGAUCAAAUCAUAUAUUGUUCACCGAUCCUGAGAGUCAAAGGCCGUGUUUUGGAGUUUGGACUCAACCCUGUUGACAAUUGGAAAUUAUUGCCAAUCACAAAUCACACACCCAAGAAACAGAGUUACCCCAAAAGAAAAGAAACUGAUUCUAGAACUUACGAAUUCAAUCAAUCAAAUAGAGAAAUCAAGAUGAGUUUUUAGUAUCUGAAUCUUUAGUUGAUGGGUUUGUAAUCUUCACUCUCUAUUUUCACCAUUACAUAUUGUAUGAUUUCACAAUUGAUUUCUUGUUCAAGAACCUAAAAAUUGGAUUUUUAUUGAUGGGUUUAGUGUGUUUAGCCCUAAAUGAAACACCACCAUCUCUGUAACAUAAAUUGUUCACCGAUCCUGAGAUCAAAUCGUAUCUGUAGCUGUUAUUAGUUCAUUAAUCACUCAUCAUCAUCAUCUUCUUCUUCAAUUUCUGUUGUCUGACUCAGGUAAUUUUCAGUUUUGACCGUACUGUUCUUAAUUUAGGGUUUUCAUUUUGUUCAAAAUUGGGGGAAAUCAUCGUACUGUUCCUUUGAUCAUUAAUCAUCAUCAUCUUCUUCUUCUUCUUCUUCUUCUUCAAGUUUUGUUGAAUAUGAGUUGGCGAUACAGAUUCAAACAUAUCUGUUACCGAAACGACGUCGCCGUCUUCACGUUCAACGAGUUCUUCUUUGUAUAUGACGUCAUCUAGAUUAGAGAUUGUAGCUCCGGCGCCGGUGUUUUCAUCGCGGAAACAUGUUUCUUCCUUAGGUAUUGUAGCUCCGGUGCUGGUGUUUUCAUCGCGGAAGCCGCCGUUGCCGGCGACUCACCGGAAAAGAUGUAUUGCUGACCGUCUGGUUGCUGACGUAACAGAUCUGGAAGUGGUUGUCAUUGUAACUUAUGUUUGUAAUUCACAGUUUAAUACGUUAUAUGCAAGUAUUUCUGCUGCUGAACUGAGGGAAUCUGUUUCCGCUUUGACAAAACGGUUAGCAGAGAUGGCUCAAGAGACAUUUGUUGACUUUGAAGAAGCCGUUGAAAAGGUCGCUACAAAAACCGCUGUUCUUGAUGGAACUGUCCAUCCGUUAACAAGUUAUGUUAGCAAUUACGUCAAGUUCUUAUUCGAUUACAAGUCAACAUUGAAGGAAAGGGCAAUGUAUGCCCUUCCAAACCAAGGUAUAGAUUGUAAGGUAGAUAUCAAGUAGUCUUUGUCGCCUAAAGUUGGUCCUGUUGUGUACUGGAUGUUCAGAGAUCAGCGGUUGAGAGACAACUGGGCUUUGAUUCACGCCGUUGAUCAAGCUAACAGGCUCAAUGUGCCUGUUGCGGAUGCGCUUAAUUUGUUCGAUCGGUUUCUUGGUGCAAAAGCUCGUCAGUUGGGGUUUAUGCUUAGGGGGUUGCAGCAGAUGAAUCAUGAGAUUGAAGAGACGCUUCAUAUACCUUUUUUCUUGUUUCAGGAUUUUAACCUAGGAGGGUUGGAUGAGGUUACAACAUAGUUCUUGCAGGUGCCUUUGUGUUUCCUUUUGCGGCCAAAACGAGAAGACGAUUCAGCUUUUGUGUUUUUCGUCUUCUUUGACUCCUCAACUGAACUUUUUGAACCUUUUCUCUUUAGAUCCCCCGAUUUGACGCGAUUAUCAGUGAGUUGAGUAGCUAAACGAAUAGCAGCUUCCAGGGUGGCAGGGUUGCUACUAAUAACUAGGUCUUGGGUUUUCACCGGAAGACCCCCAAUGUACCUCUCAAUAAGUCUAGGAAGAGGUGUAUCUAGGUAAGGGACCAAUUGUCUCAGUUUGUGGAAACGUUUGUUAUAAGAUAAAUUCUCUCUAAUAUCCUGCUUCAAGCUCUAGAACUCAUCUUCCAAAUUCUUGAUCUCAUUACACGGGAAGAACUGUUGGGUCAUGAUUUCCUUGAGUUGUUCCCAAAACAAGGCUACUGCCGCUUCGGCACCACAAGUGUUCGUUUGACCGUUCCACCAAGUUAACGCUUGACCUAACAGUCGACUAGUGGCGUAACGGAAUUUUGCGGUCGUUGGGACAGUCGUAAUUCAGAAAUGUGCUUUCCAUCUCCUCAAACCAACGAAGUAAGGCAGUAGCACCCUCGGUACCCUCAUAAGUGGGAGGGUCACAUGACUUCAAAUGUUUGAAGUAACACUUAGAAGGAUUUACACUACCAGGGUUUACUUGAGUAGUAGGCCCUUGAUUGGUAAGGGCUUGUUGAACUUGAACCACUAUGUUAGGAAUGACGGCGACCAUUUCUUUUGCGAUUUGGAUAGCCAUUCGGUGACCAGAGUUUCCAGCGUGGAUUCAGGUGCAGUGACGUCUAGCAGACAUCAAUAGGGAUCAGCGCAAAAAGUUCGUGAAUUUUUGAUAAAAAUUGAUUGUUAAAUUAUAUAGAGAAUCUCCACAAAAAAUAGAAACCUAUGAUAUAACGAAAAUUCCUAAACGUGACAUCAUAUGAAAUACGAUAAAACUUAUGAUAAACUGAUAUUUAAAAAAAAUGAAAUAUUAAAAAUUCCUAGGUUUGGCACAUCAUAGAGUUUGGUAUGCCUGUCACUUUCGUAAUCACGUAGGCCUCCGCAAUUACCGUGCUUUCGCCUAGUUCACAUAUGUUUAUCCACUGAUUAACUGAAGAAAAUCGUGAAAUAUUGAUUAAUUCGUAAUGAGGUUUCGCCUAGUUCGCAUAUGUUUAUACAUCCAAAUUAUAUUAUAGUAUACGAUAUUUGUAAGUUUCGCUCAGAGUUUAAAAACCGCGUACAUAUAUACCAACAAUCCAAAUAAACACAAAUCAACCUACAAACCCUAACUGUUUUUCAUCUUCUUCAAUUCACAACCCUAACCCUAACACCCUUCAAUGGAGCCUGAACAGAAGCAAUCACAAGAAACCAGCAAAAAAGCGGCGAAAAAGGAAGCAACAAAGGCCAACAAGUUUCGCCGUAAGUAGGAAGCCGCAACGCUGUCCGCCGCCGUGUCCGGCGUCGCCGGAGUUUCAAUUGACGGACCCGAUCCACUCUCGGCGAGCUACGGUGACGUUCCGAUCAAAGAGCUAUCGAAGGCGGUUACCGGUCGCGUGUGAACGACGCUGACUUCGUUGAUGGAGGAAUUGAAGGAUCAGACGGUGUUGAUGCGUCGACGACCUAAGACGAAUCGAGCGGUAGGGAAGAUGGCGUUUUGGACGGUUAGAGAGAGGAUAUACAGUGCAAUGUGUGUUGAUAUUGAGGGAGUUCUUUCCAUUACAUAGCGCUUCUUCAUCUCCCCGUCUGGUUCACUUCUUUGUGUUCAUCAAUGGCAGACGUCUCCGUUCAGCUCAGAUCUGGAUACUUGUUGAUGAGAAAUGGAUGUUGAUUCAUCAAUGCCAUCGUGGUCGCCGGAGGUUAAUGUAAGUACUAGUGGUCCUGAGCUAGAGGAGAGGUUGAGAGUUAAGGUGCAACAGACGAGUACAGACCGGGAGUCAUGUUUUUUCCUUAUUUAUCUUUCUCAGAUUUUGUUCUGCACGAAAUAAUUUUGGUGAUUUUGAUGGUAAUUCUAGCCUAUCUUGAUCUUGCUAAGCAAAUUAAAAUUGUUGUUGAAUAUUUAUUUUAUUUUGUUAAAUGUUCAUUAUAUUCAUUGAAUUGAAGGAUUCGGUUUCUUUAGUUCUUUUCAUCGGUAGAUUGAGAGUGAAGUUCGGUCCAAUUUGGUUUAUUAUAGGAUUUGUCUUGAAGUAUAGUACUCGGUUUGCGAAACCCCCAAUUAGUCGACCCAGUGGUAUUCAGACUUUUUCCAAUCUGAAUCGCCCCUCCGCCAUUGAUUCCGAGAGUGACUCAGAAGGCCCUGAGUACUAUACCGGCGGCGAAACAAGGUCAGAUUUUUAAAUUUCAGCGUUUAUAGUGGACGAGCCAAUGGCAUGGUGCUGCUUUUGGUGAUUAUGUAUUUGUGGCGGUCUACGUGGAGAAGGCACUAGGCGCUAGUCGGGCGGUGAGGUACCACCUAGGGAUUAAUCGGAAUGGGAGUUUUUAUAUUCAAAUUUAUAUAUAUACACAAUAAUAUAAAAAUAAUACUUCAAAAUUCACAUAAAUACUUCAAGUUUCAAUUAGUAUGGUUCAAACAUAAGCAAUUAAACUUAAACAUAACAAAUUAAGUACUUAGAAAUUCAAAAAUUAACAUAUAGUUCAAAUACUUCAAAGAUCAUCAUGCAAGUCGCGAUUCACAUCAUCUUCUGCAUAUUGGUCAAUGAUUUGAACACCAUCUGACUCGUACUCAACCUCCUCAUCUAGUUGCUCCUCAGGCUCCGACUCAAAUUCUUCAUCAAUAAGUUCUCUCGUGACACUUGACCUAGCAUUUGUACUUGUCCUAGCACUUGUUCGAGUUCGCAACACUUCGUCAACACCUGCGGCUUCCCUAACCACUUUCCAAGUUAGUCCCAGUUCAACUUCUUCAUCGACAAGCCAUUUUUAGCCCCACUACCAUCUUCUGCCACAAGUACUUCAUGAUUUCUCAACUUUCUUUUCUUGUUUUUCUCCAUCAAAAAACAAGAUCUUUUAUUCUACUCGCCUCUAGUCGAUUUC
RNA transcript from Helianthus annuus (common sunflower), 4624 nucleotides. RefSeq lists it as uncharacterized. NCBI's taxonomy places the organism in Eukaryota, Viridiplantae, Streptophyta, Magnoliopsida, Asterales, Asteraceae. The transcript has 6 exons. The record is from RefSeq and is a predicted model, not a curated record.